Molecule: ribosomal RNA, 1375 nt
Filed under: Streptococcus thermophilus
Lineage: Bacteria; Bacillati; Bacillota; Bacilli; Lactobacillales; Streptococcaceae
Description: bacterial SSU rRNA
Rfam family: Bacterial small subunit ribosomal RNA
Source: RNAcentral
AGAGGAGCUUGCUCUUCUUGGAUGAGUUGCGAACGGGUGAGUAACGCGUAGGUAACCUGCCUUGUAGCGGGGGAUAACUAUUGGAAACGAUAGCUAAUACCGCAUAACAAUGGAUGACACAUGUCAUUUAUUUGAAAGGGGCAAUUGUUCCACUACAAGAUGGACCUGCGUUGUAUUAGCUAGUAGGUGAGGUAAUGGCUCACCUAGGCGACGAUACAUAGCCGACCUGAGAGGGUGAUCGGCCACACUGGGACUGAGACACGGCCCAGACUCCUACGGGAGGCAGCAGUAGGGAAUCUUCGGCAAUGGGGGCAACCCUGACCGAGCAACGCCGCGUGAGUGAAGAAGGUUUUCGGAUCGUAAAGCUCUGUUGUAAGUCAAGAACGGGUGUGAGAGUGGAAAGUUCACACUGUGACGGUAGCUUACCAGAAAGGGACGGCUAACUACGUGCCAGCAGCCGCGGUAAUACGUAGGUCCCGAGCGUUGUCCGGAUUUAUUGGGCGUAAAGCGAGCGCAGGCGGUUUGAUAAGUCUGAAGUUAAAGGCUGUGGCUCAACCAUAGUUCGCUUUGGAAACUGUCAAACUUGAGUGCAGAAGGGGAGAGUGGAAUUCCAUGUGUAGCGGUGAAAUGCGUAGAUAUAUGGAGGAACACCGGUGGCGAAAGCGGCUCUCUGGUCUGUAACUGACGCUGAGGCUCGAAAGCGUGGGGAGCGAACAGGAUUAGAUACCCUGGUAGUCCACGCCGUAAACGAUGAGUGCUAGGUGUUGGAUCCUUUCCGGGAUUCAGUGCCGCAGCUAACGCAUUAAGCACUCCGCCUGGGGAGUACGACCGCAAGGUUGAAACUCAAAGGAAUUGACGGGGGCCCGCACAAGCGGUGGAGCAUGUGGUUUAAUUCGAAGCAACGCGAAGAACCUUACCAGGUCUUGACAUCCCGAUGCUAUUUCUAGAGAUAGAAAGUUACUUCGGUACAUCGGUGACAGGUGGUGCAUGGUUGUCGUCAGCUCGUGUCGUGAGAUGUUGGGUUAAGUCCCGCAACGAGCGCAACCCCUAUUGUUAGUUGCCAUCAUUCAGUUGGGCACUCUAGCGAGACUGCCGGUAAUAAACCGGAGGAAGGUGGGGAUGACGUCAAAUCAUCAUGCCCCUUAUGACCUGGGCUACACACGUGCUACAAUGGUUGGUACAACGAGUUGCGAGUCGGUGACGGCGAGCUAAUCUCUUAAAGCCAAUCUCAGUUCGGAUUGUAGGCUGCAACUCGCCUACAUGAAGUCGGAAUCGCUAGUAAUCGCGGAUCAGCACGCCGCGGUGAAUACGUUCCCGGGCCUUGUACACACCGCCCGUCACACCACGAGAGUUUGUAACACCCGAAGUCGGUGAG